AAGUCCCUUCCUCCACUAGGGGUUAGGGAGUGAUGUGCCAAAAGGCUUCUCAGGACUGGGCCCGUUUACCACUAGGGGAGGUGAGGCCACUUCCCCUUAGGGAGCCUUACGGGUGGUUAAUAAUUCCUUUGUGCACAAACAUCAGUUGGACUCCGCUCAAAGGCAGCAUCCAAAUACACAUUGUUCCUGAGUUACGUUAUGCAAAUAUUAGAUUCUUCUGAUGAGAAUCAGCAAAUGGUUGGCAACUGGCAAGCAGAAGAAAGCUCCUUUCCAAGAGUGCUCCAGGGAGGCAUAAAGCAAAACGACACAGCAUGAAGAUGGGGAGAGCCCAGGAGCACCAAGGAAGCGCCCACCUCCAUCCAGCCAGCCUUUCUUCCCCUCAGGGUGGGCUAUGGGGCAGAAAUCCACGCCAGAGUGAGACUUCCCAGAAGAGCUGCAAAAUGCACCCCAAAACCAGAUCCCCGGUGGAGACGCCAACUGUCAGUCCAGCAUCACUCACCAGCUUCCUGGAGUAGUGCGAUGUCUGAGGUAUGGGCUGGGGGCUGAUAGGAGAGAGCAAGGUUCACCCAGGACCUAGGCACAGCCAGCUGGAGGGAGAUCAUCCAGGCCUGGAUUGUUCUGGAAACCUAAUCAGCACCCCUGGAACUCCCUGCAGGCUGCCUGCCUCCCCCUCCACCAGCAGCAACGCAGCCAGGAUCUCACACACAGAGUCUCCAGGGCCAGGCACGGUGGCUCACUCACGCCUAUAAUCCCAGCAAUUUGCGAGGCCAAGACAGGUGGAUCACGAGGUAAAGAGAUCAAGACCAUCCUGGCCAACAUGGCGAAACCCUGUCUCUACUAAAAAUACAAAAAUCAGCUGCACAUGGUGGCGCACACCUGUAGUCUCAGGAACUCGGGAGGCUGAGGCAGGAGAAUCACUUGAACCCGGGAGGCAGGGGUUGCAGUGAGCCAAGAUUAAACCACUGCACUCCAGCCUGGUGACAGAGUGAGACUCCAUCUCAAAAAAAAAAAAAAAAAAACUUCAGAAGCCUGACAUCUUUAUGCCUUGUACAAUUCCCUUAAAUGUCCUCAACUACCUUGCAAUUACCCAAAACUACCCCUUCCUAAUACGACAUGUCUGUGCAUUUUCCCGAGACCACUGCAAAAUCCCCCAGAGAUCCCUACGGUGAUUUGAAGGGAUUAGAUCAGUGGUUCUCAAGUGGGGGCUAUGUUGUUCCCCAAGGGACUUCUGGCAACAUCUGAAGACAUUUUUGAUUGUCAUGACUGGGUGGUGCUGUUAGCAUUUAGUGAACAGAGGCCAGGGAUGAUGAUAAACAUCAUACAAUAUGCAGGACAGGCCCUGACUACAAACAUUAUCUGUCCCAAAGUGUCACUGGUGUCAAGGUUAAGAAACCCUGGAUUAGAUCGAGGAUAAGACUUUUGCUCUGUCUAUUGUCGGGCAAACUGCUCUGCUUCCUUUGAGUUCUGACAACUGUUCUGGCAAGCUGUCUUCCACAGCUGCCAAGGGUUACAGCUAAAUCCUAUUGGCCCAAAUCGUGAUCUAGGAAGGAGCCCCCACAGUGGUGGAAGAGAUGGCACAGAUGUCAGUCUUCACGAGGAAAGUAAUAGAACUUUCUCAAUUUCAUGGGAGAAGACAAGAUUGACAGACUGCAUGACUUUUCCCUUCUCCAACGUCACUAGAAAAGAAAGUGACAGCAAACAUAUCAAGCAGGUUGAAGCUUCAGCUCUCAUUAGCUCUCAGGGGCCCUGAACUUUCACAGAUGUGUUUGCACAUCUGCCCUGGAAGCCACAGCAGCCCAGGAAAAUACCCCAUGCCAAAUGGGCUGUCCCUCAGAGAUUUCAGAUCUGCCCCAACACAGCUGCCUGAGUGUAGGAAGUCAUUUUCAUCACCGUUGAUGGGCUACUUUCUCCAUGGGAAGUAGCAACUGGGCUGGAACUACCACAGGAAGAUACCUUCCCACACAGACACCUUUUAGAGAAUGGAGACUCCUGAAGGUAAUGGGAGACCUCGGACAGAAAACAAGGGGACUGAUUCAGGACCAAGGACAGAACAUGAGGUGUAGCAGACUCAAAUCCAGGCCAGAAACAUCUCCUGUGAAAUUAGUUUCCUUGGGCUAUUGUUGCAAAGUACCACCAACUGGGUGGCUUAAAACAAGAUAAAUUUGUCUCACAUUCCUAGAGUGGACAAAGCUGAAAUCAAGGUAUCAGUAGGGCCACGCUCCCUCUGAAGGCACUAGGGGAGGGUCUGUUCCAGACCUCUCUCCUAGCUUCUGGUGGCAUGCAGCCUACCUCCAGCCUUCACAUGGCGUCUGCCCCAGCCUAACUCCAGCCUUCGUGUGGCUUCUGGCCCAGCCUAACUCUGGCCUUCGCGCGGGAUCUGCUCCAGCCUAACUCCGGCCUUCAUGCGGCGUCCGCCCCACACAUGUGUGCAUCUCUUCACAUGGCAUUCUUUUUACAAGGACACCAGUCGUAUUGAAAUAGGGGCCUACCCUGCUCCAGUAUGAGCGCUUCUUAACUGAUGAUAUCUACAACAAUCCUAUUUCCAUGUAAGGUCACCUUCUGAGGUACUGGGGGUUAGGGUUUCAAAGUAUGAAUUUGGAAGAAGAUCACAAUUCAGCCCAUAUACAACUUCUAAGUUACUACUAUUCUUAUAAGAAAUGCCAAGGUUCUCAUCCAGGCCUAAGGAAGUGGUUUCACAAGGAGGCAACAUCCCAAGCAGCUGUGUGAGCCAGGUAUUACGAACUGAGGACCCUGAGCACUGAUGCGGCGGUCAAAUCCAACCUCCUUAAACCCAUUUAUUUUUAUUCUCUUUUCCUAAGACCUGGCCUCUGAUUCCUAGUGUAAGAUGACCAUCAUUCAGACUAUAAAAGUACAGCACACUAUUUAUCUGAAGUUCACACUUGAAUCCAUCUUCAUUCUCUGAAACACAGUCAUGAACCUAGAGAAACAGCAGACCAUAUUGGGCUGACCAGCAGUUGACCACCAACUUCUUCUCUAGAAUGGUAUGGGAUGUAAUGUGGAUCACUUCUCAGUGACAUCUCAGUUAGGGACAAGGGAGCUGGGAUAUUAACCAACCUCCUGCCAUCAGUCAUUGGUUGAGGGCUGAGAAGGUUCAAGCAGCCAGAGAAUAGAGUUGCAGGUGUCUGUAGUUGGAAGCCAUCAGGUUGGCAAUGCACAAGAAUGGUGAUUGCCAAGGGAAUAUGGGCAGAGCACCAAUGGGGUCUGCUAACAGCCCUUGCCCCAGCCUAAUCCAUUCUGAAAGGAAAGAAAAUAGGGUGGUGACAGAGAGAAACACAGAGGCCUUCUAAGAUGGGUGGUGUGGCUUGUCAACUCCACUCUUCCUCGGCCUUCCCCCCCACCUCCCUCUGUCCCUGCCCUACUGGACUUGUAAGGAACUGUCAUGGUGAUGAACCCAGUAAGUGGAGCUUUCUAUUAACACAUUUUACCUGUUGCCCCAGGUAUGCCCAACCACAGCUCAACCAACCAAAGGCCCUCACUUUCUUUGUAUACCCACAGACCCUUUUAUCCUUAAAGAGCGCUCUUCUGUGUGUGGGUUGGUGGUUGUUGUUUUAAUUUGAAAUUAAAAUGUCAUUUUGCUGAUUAGGGAAAUCAAACAAGGGAUUGUGCAGCUACCAAGUCUACCAUCAGAAGCCCCACCCCAUCCUCACUGAAGGGGAGAAAAAUGACCCUUCCUCUUUUCUACAUCCAGUUAAAGUCAAA
This 3720-nucleotide long non-coding RNA is filed under the name Homo sapiens (human). RNAcentral describes it as "HSALNT0164674". Lineage: Eukaryota; Metazoa; Chordata; Mammalia; Primates; Hominidae. The record is from RNAcentral.